AAAGAAAUUGUUGGGCCAUUUAGUAGUUUAUUUAGAUUUUUAAGGAAUCUCCAUACUUCUUUCCAUAUUGAAUGUAUCAAUUUACAUUCCAACCAACAGU
RNAcentral lists this microRNA precursor (100 nucleotides) under Marmota monax (woodchuck). Lineage: Eukaryota; Metazoa; Chordata; Mammalia; Rodentia; Sciuridae. The record is from RNAcentral.